UCUCUUUCGUAUACAUAUCCUAAACGUUCCUGAUCAUAGAAUUGCCAAUUGGGCAUUGACAGUCCGUUAAGAUCAGUACGUGCUGUGUCUUCUCUCAUGGAGAGUGACUGGUCUCGAGCCAUUGGUGUGAUUGACACCAAGACAAGCAUGUAGGUGCUCAAUAGCGAAUGAGUUCACUGAACACGAUCAACGAAGAGUUCUCAUACUCAUGUCACAUGAGAACUCAUGGUUGGGAUAAUGCAAAGUAGUCCUUUGACCUGAGGCAUCAUAGUUGUCUUGUGGUUAGGUCCUUGAUCUUUGAUUAUGUCAAAGUCACUCCAUUCGCGGGUGUCCACGGCAUAGUUGGGGUUAAGCCACUUAGCCAUGGAGGCAAGUGAAUGCGCAACAAGGGAUCUCUAACCUUCAAACCGUUUGAGGAGAAUACUCUAUGAUAUGAUUAAGAAUCUCUGGCCAGAGUAUGAAUGAGAUUUAGGAAGUCGUUCUAAAUCACAUUCAAGAUAAUCAUAUAUGUAAAUGAAUCACAUGGAUAGUAGACAUGAAUAAACUAUCAAACCAAACAAUGUGGUCAAGAGUAUUGUAUUAGAGAAAGACCGUAUUGCAUUGUAAUCCUAAACUGAAUAGGUUCUCCACCUCUUCUGAUUAGCUUGGGUAACCAUGAUAUGCUACUAGGUGUCACUCAUGGUUUGUGGAAGCCCUAAACGUGUAUAAACACCAAAGGGAGAAUUGAAAGUAAGUUUCAAUUCACAAUCGAUUCGAAAGAGUUUUAAUCGCCCACUGCCUCGCUAAAAGGAACAUAAUGGAUCGUACACCGUGUAAGGUAGAGAUUGAAGAAACAACGGAGAUGAGUACGAAUAAUUAAAUGGUUUAAUUAUUUACGGCAAGGAUUAAUUAAUAUGUUAAUUAAUCAAACGAAUAAGUUCGUUAAAGACCUCGGGAUAGUAUUGGACCUUAAGGCCCAAUGGGCUUUGAACGUCAAGUCCAUUGACUUAAGUUGUAUGACAACUUAAUGAAUAAUGAUUCACAAAGGCCCAAAUAGCCCAAUAAUACCCUAAGGCUGGCCAUUUAGAGGAAGGGUAGUGAACUUGCUUUAAUUACAAGUUUGCCACUCCAAUGAAUAAAGGUAUAAAUAUGACUUUAUAGCCAAAAUUCAUUAAGGGUUUUUUUUGAGGAAAUUGGAGAGAACACAAGGCUCUCCUUUCUCUCUAAAGAGGCCGGCCACCCUUGGAGGGAUUAGCUAGUAAUCUUUCUCCUCCAAGGUCACUCAUCUCUUCUUCACAUCUUACCUUGGUGUGGAGACUUAGAAGUUCUCUAUUUUGAGAACUUGGAGAAACAUAUUCUUCCAUCCAAAUCCAUGGAUCUAAGAAGCAAGGAAUGAAGGCCCUCUCCUUGAGUGAUUAGCCUUUGCUUAUGCAAAGAGGAAUCUACAAAGGUAUAAAUUUCUCAACUCACUUUGAUUUGAGUUGAGUCUUGGUUCACCAAACUACUAGGCUUUGAAUUUCAUGGGUAAUGUUUUGUUUUGAGUGCAUGCAAGCAUGAUUCCGCCUUUAAUUUGUUAAUUGCAUGCUAUAGAUGUUGCUCAAAUGAACAUGUUCUUCAUAAAAUUUUCCUUCAUCUUUAUCUCUUCAACAAAUUACGAGAAAUUUUUCGUUUGAAAAUGGUAGAUUCAAUUUGUAUCAUCUUUGUUGGAUAUUAGAGAUUCGUGUGUUAAUCAAUCAAGUCAAGUUCAUAUGAUAAAAUCAGCUAUAGAAUUGAAAAAUAAAGGACAAAAUCAGUUGCAUUCUAGUUUCCAUGAUAUGAAAAGUUAGAGAACGUGGGUUCUUUUUUUUUUCUUUCAAAUUUUUCAAAGAAAAGCAAGGGGAAGAGAAGAAACAAUACGCGACUAGGAAGAAAAUCUGACAAGAAAAAGGAGAGGAGGAAUUCAGUAAAAAAGUGGGAGGUGUAAUUAUUUAAUAGAAAAUUCUAUUAUGAAAAAAAUUAAAUAUAAAAUUAUACCAAAUAUUGUAGAUAAAGCUUCUAAGUGGCAUGUUUUGAGUGGAUGGUAGUGCCACUCAGCAUUAUGUAGUGGCAAGUCAAGCCUUACACAAGUUUUUCUCCUCGGGUGGAGAUCAAAUAUGUUUAUAAAUUAUAUAUUAUUAUACUUUGGUGAUGGUAUCCAAUACCAAAAUCUUACCAAAAAAGUUCGGUUUGGUACAAUACCGUUUGUUACACAAUCCCUAUCCAAGGGUAGACACAUCCAUGGAGAACUCAUCUCCUUAAUGCCCUGCCAUAGGCUAUUCGUCAAGGAUUCACUCCAUUCUUCUUUAGAACUACACCUGUGGUUUGAUUCUCCUUCCCGAAGAUAUAUAGGCAAUCUUUCUUGGAUUCAACCACAACCCCCAAUCAACCCUCAUUCUUCCCUCAUCAGAGAUCAUGGUAUAGUUCGAUUGGAUUUCGCCUCCGUCUGUGAAUGUGCACGAAUUUGGUUGUAACAAUAGGGACUCAAUCUUAUUGGACCUUCAAGCAGGGUAGGGGCAAUAAGGAAUAUUUAGGAUCAGGCACCUCACCUCCACUCCGAGGUACCCACAAGGUAAUGGCCUGGCCAAAUGAGCACUUAGAGUCUUGUGGUGUAUAGGACCACGGUGCGAAAGCUCAUGGGUGAGUCGCCUUUCUCCCUGGCCUUCGGUUCUGAAGUCAUCAUUCCCAUUCAGAGGACCAUGACAACUCUCCACACCGACAAAGGGACUGAGAUGGAGAAUGCAGACAUCAUCUAGAAAGAGUUGAAUUUCCUGGAAAAAAUGAGAGACAUCGCCAAGUUCACCUAGUAGCUUACAUCAAAAGGUCAUGUCCUACUACAAGAAGGAAGUCAAACACUGAAGCUUCAAAAUUUGAGACUUAGGCCUGCAAGAAGUAUUCCAAAAUACCCAGAUCCUCGGAGAGGGAAAGCUGGGUGCAAUUGGGAAGGCUUUCAACACAAACCCAAUUGCUCUUCAACAAACCCCUUAAAAGCUCUUUAGCUACAAUUUAAAAAUUCUUUCUUCCAAGCAAACACUGAGCUAUUGUAGCUCUAUCACCCCGUGGUAUGAUCUGAUUGUUGUGCAAUUCCAACAACCCUGAUUCCUCUGAGGCGUAUGUUUUGUACCAAGUCCAGUUCAAUACAAGUGAUCUUGGUGGGCCCCUCAAACAUUAUAUUGUCCUUCAUAGCCUGAAUCUUGCUAGAGUUUCACAGCUUUUUUUACAUUUCCAAUUUAUUUACUUUUCAAGUCAUGUAGGUCGCCCUAUCAGCCUAGAAUUUUCUUUUGUUAACGUUUGUAAUCUUAACUCCAUUAUGAAAUGAUUACAAUUUGUUUCUACUUUAAGUUUAUAUUUCUUUCUUUAAUUUAUGCUUUAUGCAACACACAAAUCCACAUUGAAUUUUAAGUCUUUCGCACAUACGGGGCGUCGAAAAGAACUUAACUGAACUAAUGUCCCACUGGGUGCACAAUCAUUUGGUUAAGAAGUCAAUUUUAUGUGCAACCUCACACUCACUAAAACAAACAUUGUUUAUGGGUAGCCUCCAACAAUGGCACUCCUAUUCUCUAUUUCACUCGAGCCAUCACAUGGCACUAAAACCAAAAGCAACAAUCGGGACAAAUACGUGUUGAACCCCGUGCAAGUUUUUGCACCAACAGUGUGACAAUAUCCAAGUUAUGAAAUCCAUUUGACAUAGCCUGCUAGUAUCUCUGUUAUAACGAAGAAUAAUAGAAGAUAAAUACAAAUUAGACAUGCCUGAUCCAUUUAUAAAGCACGAACCAUUACUUGGGUUUCAUUUAUUAAUGCAGUAAUAUAUGAUUACAAGAACCCUAAAAUCGAAAUAUAUCAUAACUACAAUUAUUCAGAUGAUUUCCCUUCAACUUUCCGCAACAAAUGGAAAGUUGUCUAAUUAUCAUACCAUUAAGAAUGCAGAAGCCACAUACUUACGUACAGUUAAGCUUGUUUACUCCGCAUAUACAAGAAUGUUCAGCAAGAGCCAUUCCAUUGAGUUUUACAUCUGUUGUCUGCAAUGAGUACCCAGAUAUGGGGCAUUUUUGGAAUACUUAGAGUUACAAACAGAGAUUCUAUGGGGUUGCGACUGUGUCUGGACUAGAUAGAUAUCUUUGCCACUAAGACAUCCUUCUAUAUCUACGGAAAGCCAAACUUCCGCUCAAGGAAAAGUCCCAAUGUACUGAGGUGCUGACCAAGCUGUUGACGAAAAAUUGGAUAAACAAUUAAUGGUUUCUUGCUGCAAUCUACACUCAAAUGGAUAACCUACCCAUCAGCAAGGGCUGCACCUACUAGCUCCUCACUGAAAUUCACAAAUGCUAGAGUUCAUACAUUCCUAUCAAAUUUCCCAGACGAUAAACGCAAGGGUGUGCCUCUAGUGCCUGAAGCCAAACUUUCACCAAGGCCAAAAGCAAUUUCAGCCUCAACAAAAUUAUGAUCUUGGUAUGUUGGGCUGACUAUGUGAAGCACAAAUGAUAAGUCUGUGAAAGCAUUUCUUGCACCAGAAUUGCCAUUGUAGCUUCCUUCUGAGGCACACCAGUAGCUCUCUCUCAAAACUGCUCUCCAAUUAUAAAGUGAGGCCCAUACUCUGCUAAUAGCAUUUGCAAAAAUUGUUGGAUUUGAAACACUAACAUUGGGAGUUGAGUCAUAUAAUCCGGCAGCUGACAUUUCGACCAAGUCCUCAACGUUAGCACUUGAACGAAUAAUUAGGCGUGAAUUUGCUGGAAAUAUUUUCCCUAUGCUAUCACUAAUGUCUUUCGGGGGCUGUAGGGAAGAGAUUAGUUCCUGGAGCUGACUACAAAGUUGUUCAAGCUCCCCACUUUCCAGCUUCUGUGUGUCUACCUGAUCUAGUAAGGACCUGAAUAAUUCGAUACUUUGCUUUGUUCCAAUGCCAAUUCCUAUGGUAUCAUUGCCACCAAAGGGACAUUGAAUGAAGCUAGUACCUCUUCGUCAUUAUAAACUACCAAUCAAAAACCACAAGCCUCGGGUAAAUGUAAAGGGACAAAAACAUAUGCAGGAAAAUAGAUGAUAUUGCUAUUAAGCAAUCCACAAUCAUCCCCUCGUCCAUUACAUGUAAGUGCUUUGUAUCCACUAAUUUUCUGCAAUACAUUAUAAUGCAUACCGAAGAUAAUUAAGUUUUCAUAUGAAUAUGGAAAAUGAUAAAAAUUAAAGUGGUUUCAUUUUAUCCUAAACCACUUUGACGGAAACAUUCAUCAUUCAUCACCAAUCAGUUAUUAAACAACAACAACAACAACAACAACAAAGUAUUUUCCCACUAAGUGGGAUCGGCUAUAUAAAUCCUAGAACGUUAUUGCGCUCGGUUCUGUGUCAUGUCCUCCGUUAGAUCCAAGUACUCUAAGUCUUUUCUUAGGGUCUCUUCCAAAGUUUUCCUAGGUCUUCCUCUACCCCUUCGACCCUGAACCCCUGUCCCGUAGUUACAUCUUCGAACCGGAACGUCAGUAGGCCUUCUUUGCACAUGUCCAAACCAUUGUAACCGAUUUUCUCUCAUCUUUCCUUCAAUUUCAACUACUCCUACUUUACCUCGGAUAUCCUCAUUGCUAAUCUUAUCCUUUCUCGUGUGCCCACACAUCCAACGAAGCAUCCUCAUCUCCGCUACACCCAUUUUAUGUACGUGUUAAUGCUUCACCGCCCAACAUUCUGUCCCAUACAGCAUCGUCGACCUUAUUGCAGUUGUAUAAAAUUUUCCCUUGAGCUUCAGUGGCAUACGGCGGUCACACAACACAUCGGAUGCACUCUUCCACUUCAUCCAUCCAGCUUGUAUUCUAUGGUUAGGGUCUCUAUCUAAUUCUCCGUCCUUUUACAAGAUAGAUCGUAGGUAGCGAAAGCGGUCGCUCUUUGGUAUUUCCUGAUCUUUGAUCCUCACGCCUAACUCAUUCUGGCCUCCAUUUGCACUGAACUUGCACUCCAUAUAUUCAGUCUUUGAUCGGCUUAGGCGAAGACCUUUAGAUUCCAACACUUUUCUCCAAAGGUUAAGCUUCGCAUUUACCCUUUCUUGAGUUUCAUCUAUCAACACUAUAUCGUUUGCGAAAAGCAUACACAAGGAGUAUCAUCUUAAAUAUGUCAUGUUAACUCAUCCAUUACCAAUGGAAAAAGGUAAGGACUUAAGGAUGAGCCUUGAUGUAGCCCUACAGUUAUGGGGAAGCUUUUCGUUUGUCCUUCAUGAGUUCUUACAGCAGUCUUUGCUCCAUCAUACAUAUCUUUUAUAGCUUGGAUAUAUGCUACUCGUACUCUUUUCUUCUCUAAAAUCCUCCAAAGAAUGUCUUUUGGGACCCUAUCAUACGCCUUUUCCAAAUCUAUAAAGACCAUGUGUAAAUCCUUUUUUCCAUCUCUAUAUCUUUCCAUCAAUCUUCGUAAGAGAUAGAUUGCCUCCAUGGUUGAGCACCCUGACAUGAACCCGAAUUGGUUGUCCGAAUCCUGUGACUCUUGCCUUAAUCUAUGCUCAAUGACUCUCUCCCAGAGCUUCAUUGUAUGACUCAUUAGCUUAAUACCCCUAUAGUUCAUGCAAUUUUGUACGUCGCCCUUAUUCUUGUAGAUAGGCACCAACGUGCUCUUUCGCCACUCAUUUGGCAUCCUCUUCGUUUUCAAAAUCCUAUUGAAAAGGUCAGUGAGCCAUGCUAUACCCGUCUUUCCCAAGACCUUCCACACUUCGAUCGCUAUAUCAUCUGGGCCACUACUUUUCUAUGCUUCAUCUUUUUUAAAGCUACAACCACUUCUUCCUUCCUAAUUCAGCGGUAAAAUGAGUAGUUUCUACACUCUUCUGAGUUACUUAACUCCCCCAAAGAAGUACUCCUUUCAUGUCCUUCAUUGAAAAGAUUAUGAAAAUAACCUCUCCAUUUGUCUUUGACCGUGUUCUCUGUAGCAAGAACAUUUCCAUCCUCAUCCUUGAUGGACCUCACUUGGUUUAGGUCCCUUGUCUUCUUUUCCCUUGCUUUAGCUAGUUUAUAGAUAUCCAACUCUCAUUCUUUGGUAUCUAGUCGCUCAUACAUAUCAUUAUAAGCCGCUAGCUUAGCUUAUCUCACAGCUUUCUUCAUCUCUUGCUUCGCUCUUCUAUACCUUUCACCAUUUUCAUCGGUCUUAUCCUUGUAUAAGGCUUUACAACAUUCCUUCUUAGCCUUCACCUUUGUUUGUACCUCUUCAUUCCACCACCAAGAUUCCUUUUGGUGUGGAGCAAAGCCCUUGGAUUCUUCUAAUACCUCUUUUGCUACUUUUCAGAUACAACUAGCCAUGGAAUCCCACAUUUGGUUAGCUUCCCCCUCUUUAUCCCACACGCAUUGGGUGAUUACUUUCUCUUUGAAAAUGGCUUGUUUUUCUCCUUUAGAUUCCACCAUCUAGUCCUUGGGCACUUCCAAGUCUUGUUCUUUUUUUUUUCUGUCUUUUGAUAUGUACAUCCAUCACCAACAAGCGAUGUUGAUUAGCUAAGCUCUCUCCCGGUAUAACUUUGCAAUCCUUACAAGUUAUACGGUCCCCUUUCCUCAUUAGAAGAAAAUCUAUUUGUGUUUUUGACGACCCACUCUUGUAGGUGAUCAAAUGUUCUUCUCUCUUCUUAAAGAAGGUGUUGGCUAAGAAGAGAUCAUAUGCCAUUGCAAAAUUCAAGAUAACUUCCCCAUCCUCGUUUCUUUCCCCAAAACCAUGGCCACCAUGAAAACCUCCAUAGUUGCCUGUCUCCUUGCCCACGUGUCCAUUUAAAUCUCCUCCUAUAAAUACCUUCUCCGUCUGAGCAAUCACCAAGUCUCCAAGGUCUUCCCAAAAUUUCUCCUUCAAACUCGUAUCCAACCAUACUUGAGGUGCGUAUGCACCAAUCACAUUGAUGAGUUCUUGUCCUAUUACAAUCUUGAUUGCCAUGAUUCUAUCUCCUACCUUCUUGACAUCUACAACAUCUUGUGUCAAUGUCUUGUACACGAUGAUGCCAACACCGUUUCUCGUUCUAUUUGUGCCCGAAUACCAAAGUUUAAAACCUGAGUUUUCUAGAUCCUUUGCCUUAAGACCAACCCAUUUAGUUUUUUGUAGGCACAUAAUAUUUAUCCUUCUCCUCACCAUAACUUCCACUACUUCCAUAGAUUUUCCCGUUAAGGUUCAUGUAUUCCACGUUCCUAAACGCAUUCUACUCUCUUGAACUCUAACCUUAUGCCCUAGUUUCUUCACCCUCCCCCGUCUAAUAGGAUCAAAGUACUUCUUUGGUGUGUCCUAUGUAAAGUUGAUAGGAGCAUAUGCUCCCAAACAACUUUGAGUGGAGUCGUUCAAAAGAAGUUUCUAUGACACCCUUGCUCAUUUAACACUGCAUCUGGGUGCCGAUGGAGAUACAGCGACCCACUUAUCACUAUGCUCGGGCCACACAACGCGCCACUUAUGGGUGACGUCCUAGCUUUAAUGCGAAUUCGUUCUGAAUUCAUUUUCAUAAGGAUUUGACGUAACCUAGGAGUGCCGGCUGUCGACUACCUGACUCCCUCCCCCUCCUCAUUUAUCCGGGCUUCGACCAAUCAAUUAGUAAAACUAGAAGAAAAGUUGAUAAUAAUCUUUCUUGCUUCUCAGAAUAAUAUCAUGAUUCCUUCAAUGGACGUAGUCAUUUGUUUCCGUAUGAGUGGCAGAAUUUGAAGACAUCCACUUCUAUUUCACAACAUAAUCAGCUACUCGUUAUCUUGUUUUUAAUCAAGGGCCAUCCACAAAGUGGUAUUCAAUUAUUUUGAUUUCAUAUAUCUGUUAUAAAUUUUCAAUCAAGGACCAAUCGAAACAACAAAAACGACUAUUAUAAAUAUUCCUAUUGCAAUCCUCGAAGUCAAAUAAGUAGACUUCAAUGCAUGCUUGGUAGUAGUCUCAUUGCUGAUAGGAGCAUAUUUAUGCGCCUUAGUUUAGCUUGUUCUUGUGCAUUUAUAGUGUUUUUCCUUAGUAAAGUAGUCUUUUAAGCUAGUUUUAUGUGAUUUCAGGUUCUAAGGGCAAAAUAUGAAAAAGGAUGCAUUUUGGAGCCUUUUGGAGCAAUUUAGAGCUUGGAAUGGACAUCAUAUGCUUGGAGCCAAGAGGAUGGACGAAAUUGAAGAUUUGAAGAUGAUGUUUCCUAGUUGAAUUAGGAUUCCUAGUCAAAAUGGGUUUCCUAGUUGAAUUAGGAUUCCUUGAAGAUGAAGAUUCCUACUCAAACAAGGUUUCCUACUUGAGGUAGGAAAGUCAAAAUCCAAAUGGUCUCAAGUGAAGCAACAAAGAAGUUUUCCAAGUCCAAGAAGGAAAAGGAGUCCAAGAUGAAGAAGGAAUGACAAAGACAAGGUUUCCUAAUCCUAAUAGGCAAAGUUUCCAAGUGCAAUGAGGAAUCCUUAUCCAUUUAGGGCACCUUAUCCAUUUAGGAUACCUCAUCCUUGUUCUAGAAACCUUAUCCAUCCUUGCCGUGAGUUUUCCUUGCAUUAGAGGGUUUCUAGAAGCCCUAAUCUGCCCUAUCCUUUAGUGCCGCACCUAUCCCUUCUAGAAAACCGAUUUCCUUGCCUUGCAAGGCCAUCUAGAAGCCUUAUCCCUCUAAUCCAUCCCUGCCGCACCUAGGAGGACCUUUCCUACCCAAAAUCUGAUUGUUUUAAGCCCUUUCCUGAUGGGAUUUAAUCCUCCAAGUCCUAAUCUGAUUUGCUAGACUUUUAGGACCCUAUAAAUACAUGGUGCCGCACCCAUUCAUUCACACCACCUCUCAUACACAUUCAUUCAUUCCACAAAUUCAGAAAUUCGUCCAAACACCUCUCCACCCCUUUGCCGCACCAUCCCCAUCCCCUAAACACUACUACAUACAUCCAUAACCAUGCAUCCAUACACCUAAGGUCCUAAACCUGUCCCUAGACCCUUUUCCGCACCAAGGAGGAGGAGAAGGAAGCUGGGAAGUUCAUGCAAUUCAAGUUCGCGUUGCUGGAAUUUCUAGGUGUUUCUUUUCCUUUGAUUUCAAUGUUUAAAUUCAAUUCUCUUUGUUUCGUGCGUAUGAGGAACUAAACCCCCCUUGACUAGGGGGGAUUCGAAAUACAUGUUUAUGCUUGCGAUAUGAUUUGAUUACUUCUAAUUGCGUUUCAUAAGUUGUGAAUUCAAUUUACUUAUCUAUGUGAAUUACAUUGAUUUGUGUGUGUUGGUUGAGAGUGCACGCUUAAUUAUCAUGCAUAAAUUGAAUGCUAGGAUAUAAGGAAAUUUCACCUAAUCGUUAUGGACUUAUAUUCACAAGUAGUAAAGGUUGAUGAUCUCAAUCGCGUUAAGUAAAUUCUUGGCAUAAGUUUCAUGCAAUCAUAGUAACAAGUGCUUCGUCAAUGCUUAUGGUUUUCAUAGAACUUAAUGAUUCUUGCUUGUAUCUCUAUUAUGCAAUCAUGUAGGGGACUUGUGGGGAAUGUUUUGGGUUGUCGUAUGCAAUCAUCCAAUUCAAUAACGUUAGGAAAAUCUGAAGGUUAAUUUAAGCGGAACUAAUUAACUUGGGGCAUUGAGAAUUCAUGGUUUAUUGAAAAGCAAUUGGAAAUCGUUUUGUAUGCAAGUGUAACAUGUGUGGAGAUGAACCCCUUAGCUAGCCUUCCAUUCACCCAUUUAAAUCAAAUUCGUUUUUACAAUCUAUUCUAAUUUACAAAGUUUGUUUUGUUUUAAAUUCGUCCAAAACUAAUCCCCCUUUGUUUUAAAGUGUCAAAUUAGUUAGUAAGUGUUUUACUUUGUGUUUUUAAGUGUUUUGAUUCAAGUUAAAACCCAAAUUCGUCCAAUUUGGUGCUUAGUGUCCAAAACUGCCCAGAUUGUGUUUUUAAGGCAGUUUUGAGUGUUUUGGUGCUGUUUUGAGUCUUUUGGUUUGUUUUGGUGUUUUAAAGUUUAGUUUUGCAUUCUUUGAGUCUAUUUUAGUGUUUUAAACUUGUUUUUACGUAUUUGAGUCAAUUCCAAGUGAUUUUGCAAUCCCUCCUAAUCCCCGGUCUAGAACGAUCCCUACUUACAUACAUUGCUACAAUUGAUAAAAAGAGGGUUAAUUUGUGUGUCAACAUAAUUUUCACAUCAAUUGCGGUAAUAUUGUUGCAAAUGGAUCAGCUAUAAUCUAUCCCUAGAGUUCAAUUUGUACUGGCCAAAGCCAUUAACAGACAACUUGAUGUUCGUGCAUUAAACUUACUACGGAAGUCCCGUCCCUGAAUUCCUACUCUUACUUGCCAUAAAAAACACAGAAGCAGCGAUCUAUUCCGCAAGACAUUCAGCAAAGCAGAAAGCUUUUUGGCUCCAAAUAGGACAUAAUUAUGUGAGUAAUGAAAAGAACACCAUAUUGUACUUGUACAAUUAGAAGGAUGCACAAAUUUAAGUUUGGCAACUGAGAAAAUGCAAGAAAAUUAGUAACUAAGUGGAAAAAACAGAGGGAAUUCUGAAAAUUAAACAAAAAAGGGUUUACAAUGAUUGAGCAGAGGAAACGCCAACACUACAAGGGAUCUGACAGGUGUUGGAUUUGUGGUAGAGGGGACGAUCAUUCCUCUUAUGGGCGAAAAGGGGUAGGAUGGCAAGGCUUCCCAAGCAUUGUUGCAGAGGGUAGAGGCAUCGGAAUUGCUUGCGACGGUGGAGUUGUGGCGAGGAAGCGGAGGUGUGCAGCGCAUGGACGCAAUCCAUUCGACAAAAUGCCAAAGCAAAAUUUACAAGGGAGAGGGAGAGAGUGAGUGAGGCUUGGGUUUGGAAGCAGAGAUGAUGAGUCAGUGCAUGUGAGUCAGACGUUGAGGAGGAAGAUUGAAGGAGAAGUGAGAGGUACUUACUUUUGGGUUUUUUUUUAUUAACACCCCACGUAAUGUUGAAUACACCAAACAUUAAAAUUCAAUAUUAAAUCACUUAUAUAUCUAAUAUUCAAUGACAAUUUUAACCUCAUAAAGUUAAAUAAAAAAUCUAAAUACACUCCAAAUCACAAGUUUAACAUAUCCUACAAUUAUUUUUCUUCAACUCUCAAAACCAAUCUCAUCCUUUAUUGUAGUACAAAACCUAAAUCAAUGAAACUACAAAGACGUUGAUCACAACUUUAAAGCCCAUGGAUAUUGAUCAUUAGCCUCCUGGUUUUCAUUCACCGUACCACUACAGCUUCAUCUCCAUAUGAAAUCAACAAAUUUGCUUUGUUAUGAUGAUUUUCACAGAGGGGACUCAGAACUUGCGGAUUCUCGUUAUAACGCCUCAAAUUACACCCAAACAGGAAGGGAAAGAAAGGAGCGUCCAAGUCAAGCUACUCGCCUCUUUGGCUGUGAUACCAAUAGCUCUUGCAGAUGCACAUAUGAUUGGUUGUUUUGUACAUACAAUGAAAUUCUUCAAUCCAAUGAUUCAUGUAUGCGUUCUAUCCACCCCACAUUCUUCUUCAAUCCGGUUUCAUUGAGUAAAAAAAAAAAUGUGAAGUGGAGUGUAGGUAAAAAAAUGUGGGGUGUAUGUUGAGAGUGUGGGAUGUGAGGGUAUUAAGGGAAAGUACAUGAGGUGUAUAAAGAUAACUUUUAAUUGAAAAGGUAAAUGUGGGGUGCUUCAACAAUAUUUGAGGUGCUAAUAUAAUAAGCCCUUACUUUUCUGUUUUAAUUUCAGAAAAUCAUUAUUCACACACUCAUUCUUAUAUUUACACAUUUUUGUUAAUUUUUAAUCAUUAAUCUUUUUUAAUUCAUUUGAUUCGACGACCAAAAAAUUUAAAAAAAAAUUGAAAAGUAAAAAUAGGUAUAUGGCUAGCACAAUUCUUAAUUUAUUUGGGACACAUGGUAGGGACCGAAUCCAAAUCCCCAAAAUAGGAGAGAUCCUAUUGUCCGGGUUCUUUACGCAAAGCUUUCCAAAAUUUUAGGGUUUGUGUGUCACAGCCCGUCCCGAAUUAUUUAGUUUCGACGGUGUGAAAUGACUAUUUUGCCCUUGGACGUUAGUGGUGUGGUGUGUGUUAUGCAUGUUAGUGGUGGUCCAAACUUAUGCUUUUCCUUAAUUUUGGACCCAAUUAGAACUUAGUUUUUUUUGUGGUUUUUGGUUGGUGACCUAGCUGGACACACACACUCACACGUACCAUACACACAAAAACACUCAGAUCUCUCUCUCUCUCUGGCAUUUUCGUACAACCCGUAUGGACAAAUCUUCAACCUUCCAUUUUAGGCACGGAUUGAGGUUUUAAAGGUAACAUUCAAACUCUUUGCAAGCCUUGAUGUCGAUUUAUACCUUUAUUUGGACUUAAAACCUUCGAAAACCCUAGUUUCUCACGAACUCCGAUAUAGGUACUAUUCAUACACUAAUUAUUGUGAGGUUUUUAGGAGUUUUUAAGGGUAUAGGAAGCUUUAGAUUGUCUUCAUGAAGCUCGGAGAAAAAAAAUGAAGUGAUUUGGACGUCGGAAAGUUGAGUUUCUAUGAGUUGCAGGUUUAGCCGGAUUAUCGAGGGAUUUUCCAGCGAGUUCCGUGGGUUUUAGGGCUUUUGAAAGGUACGGUUGUGUUCUAUUUGUAUUAAGCUUCAAAUUGGUUUAAGUUUCAUGCAAUUUGGUUGAGAAAUGGACGAGAAAUGAAGGUUAAAGUUUUCCAGUUUUCGGCGACCGUCGCCGUCGCCGGAGUGCGAAGGUAGGGGAUGACGAAACAUUCCGUCAACUUUGACGGAAUAUUCCUAAUGGCGUUGGUUAGUUUAAUGGUUUCCGUUACUUUUUAACAAUAUAUUCCACGGAAUAUUCCUAACAGGGUUAAGGGAUUCUGUUAGGAUCCCUGCGCGUGGCCGCGUGUAGGGCCGUGCCCUUGCCGGCGCGUGAAGGCUCCAAAAAAUUAUUUUAAAAAUAUAGGGAUGUUCAUGGAGUUGUGUAGAUCACGAUGGUAUAUUUAUAUACCUCAAUUGUGCAAUGUAUGAGAAGUUAUUAGCUAGUAUUGGUUAUAUGCUUUAAAUUAACGUUUUUAUAGAGCGCAGUCAAUGGCGACUCGGAGGCUACGACCCUUCGACAUACCAGUGAGUCGGUUUUUGGUUUUCAGUAUAUACUUAUAUACUUGAUAUUUUCCCAGAAAAUGCAUUUAAAUGAGUUAUGAUUUGAAUUGCCAUGCCAAACAUUUUAUAUUUAGAAUAUGCAUAUGAUGUUUGCAUAUAUAUAUAUAUUUAUAUAUAUAUUUGUGGUGCUGAGGACUCUCAGGUAAGUCCCAGGUGAGUUUAUGAAUUGUGAAUAUGAAUAACAUUUGUGAUUAAUUGAGAAACUUUGAGCUCAUAAACCUGCACCCCGGUGUUAGUGAUUUAGCCAGAAAUAGGGCACAGGCCUGCUUAUUCUGUUUAUAUCAUGGCAUGGCAUACUCAUGAUUAUGAAUAUGUGAAUCAUGAUUUGAAUUGAUAUAUAUAUAUAUAUGUAUGUAUAUGUUUGUAUUCUAUUUCUGGGAAAAAUAUCAAGUAUAUAAGUAUAUACUGAAAACCAAAAGCCCACGUAGAAGGCGGACAUGCCCAUGUAGUCAAAGCCUUGAGCCUACACCUCGAGGCCUUGUGAACCUAACUUCAUCCUCUUCACUAUUCCUGCUCCUCUUGCCAUUUGUGUAAGCAGAUUAAGUGAACUGAUAAGUAAGCUAAGCUUGUAUCAUAUUGUUUACCCUAAAAACUACCAAGCCUACGUGGCAUGCAGGCCGAGUAACUAAUGAGCUAACUAUGUCUUUCGGUUAUGUGCGGGGUGUGCCAACUCGUUGGCCGAGCUCGGCCGGGGAGUAAAAUGUGUUGAUGUUCAGUUGAGCGUGCUGCUGACUUCUUGAUCUUGCAACUACGGCCAAGGAAGGAACACGUCUCGACUUUCAGGUUCUAGAGCCUAAAGACAAGGCUGCUAGUCUUGCGAAGUUCACGGAUCGUUGGCGCCGUGUUCGGUCACGGUGAUUAUAUUCGUAAGAGUAUAAGCACGCCGAACCGGUACCAAACUAUACGGACACAAGUACUCAAAAGAAAUGUAUGUCUUGAUGGUAAACGUGGUUUGACUGUCAAAAUGUCGAACUCUAAAACUUACUUGUGAAUAUCCAAUCAUAAAACAACUCAGCAUUCAAUGUGGUAAACCCAGUAAUCUGUAACACUUCACUUCGCCGAGAAGGCUAAUGAGAUGACCUUUGCCAACAAGAACUCAAAAAUCCUUCUUGGCCAAGACUUGGAUAGAUAACAAGUUGGCCUCGACGCAGUGUUGUUUAUCCAAAUUAAAGGUGCUCCGGGGUCGGCUGAUUUUACGGCAACAGUGCUACUUAUCCAAACUAAAGAUGUCACCGGUUGCCUUCACAGUGCUAUUUAUCCAAACUGAAGAUGUGUCGGUGGGAAAAAGAAACUAAAAAUCUAAGGUUGUUGAGAGGUUUCACGUAGAGUGAGAGUUUGCGCAGGGCAGUUUGUGUGUUGAAUUGUAGGCCUUUGAAUGAUGCACUCUCCUAUAUAUAUUUAGCAGCGAACCUACUCUUGGCUGAACCAGAGAUGUAUCCAGACUAAAACUCCCAAAUCUAAUCUGAUUAGGAUUCGGCCAAUCCUAGUUCCAAUAGGUUUCUGAACCAAGCUCUGUAAUGAAUCAGAUUCACUCUCGAAUUCUCAACGCCCUUAACUCUGAAAACCCCAUUAUUGUACCAAGACUUGACUUCUUCACUCUUAUCCAAAUCAAUCCUUCUUGCAACAGAACUCGGCCGACUUGAUUGGUGACUUAUGACAGUUUGGACGACCCAUAGUAUUUUCAGAAGAGCAUUGGACCAAACACAAACCUAAGCUCGGCCUAAUAAUGUUAUUUUGGGCCCAAACACAUAUAUAUAAACAACAGAGUUGGCGUGGUGGUGAAGUGAUGGCGUAAGAGCAUACGUAUAUCAACUACCAAAAGGAAACUCGAAACUUCUUCGUCAAGAUACAAUAUUCUAGCAAAAUGUAUGCAGUGGCUGGUAACAAUACUCGUACUGUAGAUGCAAAUUUCUUCCUCCUUGAUCUUGGUAAAAAUAGCACCUACAAAACAAAUAACACCUUAGGUCAAGGCCAAGAACCUCACAUGUUGGAAAUGUGCCCUAAAACCAAUCAUAUGAUGAUACUUUACGGACAUUUCACAUGUUCAACUAAUAUAGUUUAAUUUAAAGGGCAAAGAUUAUUGUUUGAAGCCAUCUCAUAUAAAUGUUAUACGCUUAAACGAUAAGUCCAAGGAAUAUAUAAUUGGGAGAAUGCGAUCUAAAGAAGUUAGAUUCAUGAGACCAUUCUCUUCCGUAUACAUAUCCUAAACGUUCCUGAUCAUAGGAUUGCCAAUUGGGCAUUGACAAUCCGUUAAGAUCAGUAAGUGUUAUGUCUUCUCUUAGGGAGAGUGACUGGUCUCGAGUCAUUGGUGCGACUGACACUAAGACAAGCAUGUAGGUGCUCAAUAGAGAAUGAGUCCACUGAACACAAUCAACAAGGAGUUCUCAUACUCAUGUCACAUGAGAACUCAUGGUUGGGAUAAUGCAAAAUAGUCCUUUGACCUGAGGCAUCAUAGUUGUCUUAUGGUUAGGUCCUUGAUCUUUGACUAUGUCAAAGUCACUCUGUCAGAGGGUGUCCACGGCAUAGUUGGGGUUAAGCCACUUAGCCAUGGAGGCAAGUGAAUGCGCAACAAGGGAUCUUUAACCUUCAAACUGUUUGAGGGAGAAUACUCUAUGAUAUGAUUAAGAAUCUCUGGCUAGAGUAUGAAUAAGAUUUAGGAAGUCAUUCCAAAUCACAUUCAAGGUAAUCAUAUAAGUAAGAGAAUCACAUUGGAUAAUAGACAUGAAUAAACUAUCAAACCAAACAAUGUGGUCAAGAGUAUUGUAUUAGAGAAAGAUCGUAUUGCAUUGUAAUCCUAAACUGAAUAGGUUCUCCACCUCUUCCGAUUAGCUUGGGUAACCAUGACAUACUGCUAGGUGUCACUCAUGGUUUGUGGAGCCCUAAACGUGUAUAAUCACUAAAGGGAGAAUUGAAAGUAAGUUUCAAUUCACAAUCGAUUUGAAAGAGUUCUAAUCGCUCACUGCCUCGCUAAAAGGAACCUAAUGGAUUGUACACCGUGUAAGGUAGAGAUUGAAGAAACAACAGAGAUGAGUAAGGACAAUUAAAUGGUUUAAUUGUUUAUGGCAAGAAUUAAUUAAUAUGUUAAUU
This 17013-nucleotide long non-coding RNA is filed under the name Malus domestica (apple). Its description in RNAcentral is "long non-coding RNA (MDOM_LNC013546)". Lineage: Eukaryota; Viridiplantae; Streptophyta; Magnoliopsida; Rosales; Rosaceae. The record is from RNAcentral.